UCGAUGGCCGGCAGCGGCUGGAUUUCGGCGAACGUCGUCAUGGUCGUGGGCAGCUGGAUCUCUUUGGGGAUCAGUACACCAUAUUUGUUUUUGAAGUGAGCUGUCCUUAUCUCAUUGAAGAGAAGCUGUCAGAUGUUACCUGGUGAUGAUAUGCAUCUUUAAGUCGGUCCUUGAAAGGAGGAGGCAGAUGGGCAGGUGGAAGGGUGCUGAGGACAAGGAAAAUGAGAGAUUGGGGAGCAUGGAAACAAGGAGUCCAUUGGCAAUUACUGCAAAGCCCAGAUUACAAGUUCAUAAGGAAAGAAAAGAAGACACAGCUAUUUUGUGCCUGUUGGCUGAUACUGCUAAGAAGACUCUGUGGAGGGAUCCAGCUUGAUUUAAAGCCUGAAUAAAACAUGGGAUUGGCAUUGAUGACUAAGAAGAGGAGAGUCCUGGAAUGAUAAGAGCUCCCCUUUGAAUAGAACUUUACACCUCACAAAGUGUUUUCAUCUGUUUUAUUAUAUUUGACCUUCACAACAGCUGUCUAACGUAGCACUUAUUGCAUGGUAUUUUUAAUCACCUAUAUACAAGUCUGUUUCUACGCUAAAUCUGGAACACUCCAAGGGCAGUGACUAUGUGCAUUUCCUAUGCUUGGGAUGGUGCUUGGUGCAGGGUAGUGGGCUGGGAGUAUUAGGGAAAUGAAGCAAAUUCUAUCACCUUAAAUCCUUGAUAUAAACAGAUAUUAUUAACCUGUACUAUAGAUGCCAAACCUGAGGCUUAUGAAACGUGUGUCCAAGUCAAAUAAAAGGCAAAAACAGUGCCCCAAAUUGGACCUUAGAUCCAGAGUCAUUGCCAACAUGUGAUAAGUGCACAUAAAAACUAAAGGGCUAACAGGACACAUCCUUAUGGAGCAUCCAGGGAAAUGAUAACACCCAAGUGUGUACCCAUAAAAUGACCUGAUAAUAAAUUCCAAAGUAACAUUGACCCGAACAUUGCAUGAUGAACACUGAGGGACUAGAGAAUAAGAGAAUGUUCCAGAAUUGUUAUAAUGGUUGCUGAAGAAAUUAUUUCUGCUUAGAAAAAAGAUUCCAUUUGAU
Long non-coding RNA from Nyctereutes procyonoides (raccoon dog), 1073 nucleotides. RefSeq lists it as uncharacterized. The transcript has 4 exons. The record is from RefSeq and is a predicted model, not a curated record. Lineage: Eukaryota; Metazoa; Chordata; Mammalia; Carnivora; Canidae.